This 76-nucleotide transfer RNA is filed under the name Armatimonadota bacterium. RNAcentral's name for it is "Armatimonadetes bacterium (bioreactor metagenome) tRNA-Thr". It matches the Rfam family "tRNA". From Rfam's summary of the family: Transfer RNA (tRNA) molecules are approximately 80 nucleotides in length. Lineage: Bacteria; Bacillati; Armatimonadota. The record is from RNAcentral. RNAcentral also lists the same sequence under 1 other name.
GCCGACGUAGCUCAGUUGGUAGAGCAGGGCACUUGUAAUGCCCAGGUCGUCCGUUCGAAUCGGAUCGUCGGCUCCA